Molecule: long non-coding RNA, 1105 nt
Organism: Kogia breviceps (pygmy sperm whale)
Lineage: Eukaryota; Metazoa; Chordata; Mammalia; Artiodactyla; Physeteridae
Source: RefSeq, a predicted model, not a curated record
CCGGGCGAAGUGGCAACUGUAAGGCACUUGUGGCGGGGGAGGUCUGUGUGGGCAAAAUUCCCUCCGUUUCUUGCCAACACCGGAAUUAACACUGCUCCGCUCUGAAGCUUAAAAGUGUUUCAGGCCCGUGAUGUUAACGCGCUUCCUAAACUGGCCGUUCCGGGGUCGUCAGAGCCACCGGGCUGGCGGGGGCCCCGCGUGCGCCUGGAACACGGACACCGUCCCGGGCUAGAGCGCCUCCGUGCUGGGUGAUGUCCAACAGCUCAUCUUUCUCAAAGAAGAGCAAGUCCAUCAGAAGGCUGUAAGCUGCGAAGAUUCGUGUUCUUUUUCUUCCCUCGCUGCCCCGGAUCAGUAUAAGAUCUUACCUUUUCUUCUGACUUCUAUGCUGGAUGAGGCCCACGUCCCUGUCUGGGGUCUCUCCUUAUCUCCAGAGCCAGCCUCUGACUCACCUGCUCUCUCCAGCACCUCACUUUUGCACUCCUACAGCCUCCUUUCUUUUGACUUAAUUCCACCUCAUUUUUGAAUUCACCCUGACUAAAGUUUCCAUCCUGGUUUAAAAGGGUUGUUGGAAGAGAGAAUCUGCCAUGGGCACUGGGCCUCCCCAUCUGUUCUUUCUGAGCAUGCCAAGAAUGCAAGGCCCCGACGGCUCUUUGUCCAGGCCAUCAUUCAGGGUUAUGUGUGCAGCAGGCGACCUUCAGGGAAGAGGCCGUGCCUCCUCCCAAACACAGGCUUGCUACUGCUCAUUACAAAAACAAUGAGUCCCUCCAGGUCCGUGUUCCUCUCCCACGGCAACCCUCUGCAUGUGCAGGCAUCCUGGAUGGGUCCUUUGUGUCACCACUGUGGGAUUCGGGGGACAUGGGGAACCACUGCAAACCAACACAAACUCUGGCUACUUCUUUUGCCCCAUGUAAUAAAAUCCUCAGUCUCCGGCCAAGAGGCUCAUGCCUUUUACCAGUGUCCAUGAAAGAGUAACUUGCAAGCUUGGAAAUGGGGUAAAACUUUAGACCCCGCACAGUUUGUACACGGGCCUCUCACUGUUUGUGGCCUCUCCCAUUGCAGAGCACAGGCCCCGGACACGCAGGUUCAGAGGCCAUGGCUCACGGGC